AACGAACGCUGGCGGCAUGCCUAACACAUGCAAGUCGAACGCCCCGCCAGGGGAGUUGCUGACCGGUUAUUAACGCGUGGGAACAUACUCUUUUCUACGGAAUCUCUCUGUGAAACUGGAAUUAAUACCGUAAACGCUCUACAAUGGAAGGAUUUAUCGGGGAACGAUUGGUGCGCGUUGGAUUAGCUGGCUGGUGGGGUAAAGUACUUCCAAGGCGGCUAUCCAUAGAUGUUCUGAGAGUAUGAUCAGCCACAUUGGGGCUGAGACAAGGCCCAAACUCUCAGGGGAGGCAGCAGUGGGGAAUAUGGGACAAUGGGCGAAAGCCUGAUGCAGCCAUGCCGCGUAAGUGAUGAAGUCCUGAGGGUUGAAAAGCUCUGUCACCGAUGAAGAUAAUGACGGUAGUAGGAGAAGAAGCCCCGGCUAACUUCGUG
Molecule: ribosomal RNA, 431 nt
Filed under: uncultured bacterium
Lineage: Bacteria
Description: partial 16S ribosomal RNA
Rfam family: Bacterial small subunit ribosomal RNA
Source: RNAcentral